UUGACUCCUUUACUUCCUAGAGACCACUCCACUGAUUUCUGAGGCUGUUAAUGCAAAUGAGUCUGCAGGAGAUGGUGGCCUGAAGGAGGGAAGGCAGCCAUGCUGAGCUCUGGCUGGGGUUCGCCAACUCCUGCUCCUAGGCCUCCGUCUCCUCCAGCUUGCUAACUGCACAGCUGACGGAGAGAUGGGAAGUAAGAGGAAAGCAAAGGCAUUGCUUGAUCACCACUGAAGCUAGUCGGUGUUUGUACUCUCUGGGCUUGGAGGUAUCUUCCAGACAUGAAGAGGAAAUGAGAUAGCAUCACCUCUUAACUAUUCCUUCAUCCCCUCCACACUUUCUUUUUGUCCUCUUUA
Molecule: long non-coding RNA, 351 nt
Organism: Nycticebus coucang (slow loris)
Lineage: Eukaryota; Metazoa; Chordata; Mammalia; Primates; Lorisidae
Exons: 3
Source: RefSeq, a predicted model, not a curated record